Molecule: ribosomal RNA, 274 nt
Filed under: uncultured bacterium
Lineage: Bacteria
Description: partial 16S ribosomal RNA
Rfam family: Bacterial small subunit ribosomal RNA
Source: RNAcentral
AUACGAAGGGGGCUAGCGUUGUUCGGAAUCACUGGGCGUAAAGCGCGCGUAGGUGGAUCAAUUAGUUGAGGGUGAAAUCCCGGGGCUCAACCUCGGAACUGCCUUCAAUACUGUUGAUCUUGAGACCGAGAGAGGUGAGUGGAAUUCCUAGUGUAGAGGUGAAAUUCGUAGAUAUUAGGAAGAACACCAGUGGCGAAGGCGGCUCACUGGCUCGGUACUGACGCUGAGGUGCGAAAGCGUGGGGAGCAAACAGAAUUAGAAACCCGAGUAGUCC